RNAcentral lists this ribosomal RNA (254 nucleotides) under uncultured bacterium. Its description in RNAcentral is "partial 16S ribosomal RNA". It matches the Rfam family "Bacterial small subunit ribosomal RNA", at positions 524 to 776 of the family's 1533-position model. The record is from RNAcentral.
UACGGGGGGAGCAAGCGUUGUUCGGAUUUACUGGGCGUAAAGGGCGCGUAGGCGGCCACCGCAAGUCGACUGUGAAAUCUCCGGGCUUAACCCGGAAAGGUCAGCCGAUACUGCGGGGCUAGAGUGCAGAAGGGGCAACUGGAAUUCUCGGUGUAGCGGUGAAAUGCGUAGAUAUCGAGAGGAACACCUGCGGCGAAGGCGGGUUGCUGGGCUGACACUGACGCUGAUGUGCGAAAGCCAGGGGAGCGAACGGG